AUUGAACGCUGGCGGCAUGCCUUACACAUGCAAGUCGAACGGCAGCGGACCUUCGGGUGCCGGCGAGUGGCGAACGGGUGAGUAAUAUAUCGGAACGUACCUUUCAGUGGGGGAUAACGUAGCGAAAGUUACGCUAAUACCGCAUAUUCUGUGAGCAGGAAAGCAGGGGAUCGCAAGACCUUGCGCUGAUUGAGCGGCCGAUAUCAGAUUAGCUAGUUGGUGAGGUAAAGGCUCACCAAGGCGACGAUCUGUAGCGGGUCUGAGAGGAUGAUCCGCCACACUGGAACUGAGACACGGUCCAGACUCCUACGGGAGGCAGCAGUGGGGAAUUUUGGACAAUGGGCGCAAGCCUGAUCCAGCCAUGCCGCGUGAGUGAAGAAGGCCUUGGUUGUAAGACUCUUUCGGUCCGGGAAGAAAUACGCACAGGUUAAUACCCUCGUGUGGAUGACGGUA
Molecule: ribosomal RNA, 453 nt
Filed under: uncultured bacterium
Lineage: Bacteria
Description: bacterial SSU rRNA
Rfam family: Bacterial small subunit ribosomal RNA
Source: RNAcentral